UAACACAUGCAAGUCAACGGGAUCCUGGCUUCGGUCAGGUGAGAGUGGCGGACGGGUGAGUAACGCGUGGGAACCUGCCAGUGGUGGGGGAUAACUGCGGGAAACUGCAGCUAUUACCGCAUGAGCCCGAGAGGGAAAGAUUUAUCGCCAUUGGAGGGGCCCGCGUUCGAUUAGGUAGUUGGUGAGGUAACGGCUCACCAAGCCGACGAUCGAUAGCUGGUCUGAGAGGAUGAUCAGCCACACUGGGACUGAGAUACGGCCCAGACUCCUACGGGAGGCAGCAGUGGGGAAUAUUGGACAAUGGGGGCAACCCUGAUCCAGCAAUGCCGCGUGAGUGAUGAAGGCCUUCGGGUUGUAAAGCUCUUUUGGCGGGGACGAUGAUGACGGUACCCGCAGAAUAAGCCCCGGCUAACUUCGUG
This 419-nucleotide ribosomal RNA is filed under the name uncultured bacterium. Its description in RNAcentral is "bacterial SSU rRNA". It matches the Rfam family "Bacterial small subunit ribosomal RNA", at positions 49 to 507 of the family's 1533-position model. The record is from RNAcentral.